This 429-nucleotide ribosomal RNA is filed under the name Verrucomicrobiota bacterium. Its description in RNAcentral is "Verrucomicrobia bacterium partial 16S ribosomal RNA". It matches the Rfam family "Bacterial small subunit ribosomal RNA", at positions 355 to 776 of the family's 1533-position model. The record is from RNAcentral. Lineage: Bacteria; Pseudomonadati; Verrucomicrobiota.
UAGGGAAUCUUCCGCAAUGGGCGAAAGCCUGACGGAGCAACGCCGCGUGAGUGAUGAAGGUCUUCGGAUCGUAAAACUCUGUUAUUAGGGAAGAACAUACAUGUAAGUAACUAUGCACGUCUUGACGGUACCUAAUCAGAAAGCCACGGCUAACUACGUGCCAGCAGCCGCGGUAAUACGUAGGUGGCAAGCGUUAUCCGGAAUUAUUGGGCGUAAAGCGCGCGUAGGCGGUUUUUUAAGUCUGAUGUGAAAGCCCACGGCUCAACCGUGGAGGGUCAUUGGAAACUGGAAAACUUGAGUGCAGAAGAGGAAAGUGGAAUUCCAUGUGUAGCGGUGAAAUGCGCAGAGAUAUGGAGGAACACCAGUGGCGAAGGCGACUUUCUGGUCUGUAACUGACGCUGAUGUGCGAAAGCGUGGGGAUCAAACAGG